This 406-nucleotide ribosomal RNA is filed under the name uncultured bacterium. RNAcentral's name for it is "partial 16S ribosomal RNA". It matches the Rfam family "Bacterial small subunit ribosomal RNA", at positions 29 to 526 of the family's 1533-position model. The record is from RNAcentral.
AUUGAACGCUGGCGGCAGGCCUAACACAUGCAAGUCGAGCGAGCGGCGGACGGGUGAGUAAUGUCUGGGAAACUGCCUGAUGGUGGGGGAUAACCACUGGAAACGGUAGCUAAUACCGCAUACCAUCAGAUGUGCCCAGAUGGGAUUAGCUAGCAGGUGGGGUAAUGUCUCACCUAGGCCACGAUCCCUCGCGGGUCUGAGAGGAUGACCAGCCACACUGGCACUGAGACACGGUCCAGACUCCUACGGGAGGCAGCGGGGGGGAAUAUGGCACAAUGGGCGAAAGCCGGAUGCAGCAAUGCCGCGUGUGUGAAGAAGGCCUUCGGGUUGUAAAGCCCUUUCAGCGAGGAGGCGUUACUCGCAGAAGAAGCACCGGCUAACUCCGUGCCAGCAGCCGCGGUAAUAC